CCUUAGGCCCGGCAGCAACCCCCGCAGUCACAGGAGCGGCCGCGCCCGCCACUGGGAGGGUGCAGCCACUGGGGAGGGUCUAAUUUGGCUGAGCGGAGGGGACCCUCUCUGCAGGCCGCUUCCCGAAAGGCGGAAAUAGCCGAGGAGGGCGCGCCGACGUCCCCCAGCCCCCGGCCCCUGACCCCUGCCCGCGGCCGCAGCAUGCGCGCCCAGCCGGCGUGACCGGCUCCGCCCGCAGCCGCCCCGCAGCCCAGCCCGGAGCUCUCGCGGGUCACUCGGACCGGCGCCCGGGAGCGAUGAGCCAUGAAGCCGCCCGGCAGCAGCUCCCGACGGCUACCCCUGGCGGGCUGCAGCCUGGCCGGCGCCUCCCGCGGCCCCUGUCGCUGCCCCGCCGGCCCGGUGCUGGCCCGCGCGCCACCCUGCCGCCUGCUCCUCGUCCUUCUGCUGCCAGCGCUCGCCGCCUCGUCCCGGCCCCGCGCCUGGGGGGCCUCUGCGCCCAGUGCUCUGCAUUGGAAUGAAACUGCAGAGAAAAACCUGGGAAUCCUGGCAAAUGAAGACAAUGCAUCGCAACAGAACAGCAGCAGCAAUACCAGCUCCAGCAGUGCAGUGCAGAAGGAAAUCACACUGCCUUCAAGACUGGUGUACUACAUCAACCAGGACUCCGAAAGCCCUUAUCAUGUGCUCGACACAAAGGCCAGACACCAGCAGAAACACAGUAAGGCUGUCCAUCUGGCCCAGGCAAGCUUCCAGAUUGAAGCCUUUGGCUCCAAGUUCAUUCUUGACCUCAUACUGAACAAUGGUUUGCUGUCUUCUGACUACGUGGAGAUUCACUAUGAGAAUGGGAAACCAAUGUACUCUAAGGGUGGAGAACACUGUUACUACCAUGGAAGCAUCAGAGGCGUCAAAGACUCCAGGGUGGCUCUGUCGACGUGUAAUGGACUCCACGGCAUGUUUGAGGACAACACCUUCGUGUAUAUGAUAGAGCCAUUGGAGCUCGUUCAUGACGAGAAAAGCACAGGCCGACCGCACGUAAUCCAGAAAACCUUGGCAGGACAAUAUUCUAAGCUGAUGAAGAAUCUCAGCACAGACGGCAGUGACCAGUGGCCUUUGCUACCUGAAUUACAGUGGCUGAGAAGAAGGAAGAGAGCAGCCAGUCCGUCACGUGGUGUAUUUGAAGAAAUGAAGUAUUUGGAACUUAUGAUCGUUAAUGAUCACAAGACGUAUAAGAAGCACCGCUCUUCUCAUGCGCAUACCAACAACUUCGCAAAGUCUGUGGUCAACCUGGUAGAUUCUAUUUACAAGGAACAACUCAACACUAGGGUUGUCCUAGUGGCCGUAGAGACCUGGACUGAGAAGGAUCAAAUUGACAUCACCAUCAACCCCGUGCAGAUGCUGUACGAGUUCUCCAAGUACCGGCAGCGCAUCAAGCAGCAUGCUGAUGUGGUCCACCUCAUCUCGCGGGUGACAUUCCAUUACAAGAGAAGCAGUCUGAGUUACUUCGGAGGUGUGUGCUCUCGCGUGAGAGGGGUCGGUGUAAAUGAGUACGGUCUUCCAAUGGCAGUGGCACAAGUAUUGUCUCAGAGCCUGGCUCAAAACCUCGGAAUCCAGUGGGAACCUUCUAGUAGAAAGCCAAAAUGUGAAUGCAUAGAAUCCUGGGGCGGCUGCAUCAUGGAGGAAACAGGGGUGUCCCACUCUCGGAAGUUCUCCAAGUGCAGCAUCUCAGAGUACCGAGACUUUUUACAGAGGGGAGGCGGGGCCUGCCUCUUCAACAGGCCAACAAAGGUAAUUCAAGAAAUGCAAUGGCGGCACUUUGUGCCAGACAGUGCAGAUUUCUCUCCACUGUUUGAGCCCACAGAAUGUGGGAAUGGAUACGUAGAGGCCGGGGAGGAAUGCGACUGUGGUUUCCAUGUGGAAUGCUACGGAGUUUGCUGUAAGAAAUGCUCACUCUCCAAUGGGGCCCACUGCAGUGACGGCCCCUGCUGCAACGGCACCUCGUGUCUUUUUCAGUCACGAGGGUAUGAAUGUCGGGAUGCCGUAAACAGCUGUGAUAUCACUGAGUACUGCACUGGAGACUCUGGCCAGUGCCCACCAAAUCUCCAUAAACAAGAUGGCUAUGCCUGCAAUCAAAAUCAGGGUCGCUGCUACAAUGGGGAGUGCAAGACAAGGGACAACCAGUGUCAGUACAUCUGGGGAACAAAGGCUGCAGGGUCAGACAAGUUCUGCUAUGAGAAGCUGAACACGGAAGGCACUGAGAAGGGCAACUGUGGCAAAGACGGAGACCGGUGGAUCCAAUGCAGCAAACAUGACGUGUUCUGUGGAUUUUUACUCUGCACCAAUCUUACCCGAGCACCGAGGAUUGGUCAGCUUCAAGGAGAGAUCAUCCCGACGUCCUUCUAUCAUCAAGGCCGAGUCAUUGACUGCAGUGGUGCUCAUGUGGUUUUAGAUGACGAUACAGAUGUGGGCUACGUAGAAGAUGGGACUCCAUGUGGUCCAUCCAUGAUGUGCUUAGACCGGAAGUGCCUACAGAUUCAAGCCCUGAAUAUGAGCAGCUGCCCACUUGACUCCAAGGGCAAAGUCUGUUCAGGCCAUGGGGUGUGUAGUAACGAAGCCACCUGCAUCUGUGACUUCACUUGGGCAGGCACAGACUGUAGCAUCCGGGAUCCGGUUCGGAACCCCAACCCCCCGAAGGACGAAGGACCUAAGGGUCCUAGUGCCACCAAUCUCAUAAUAGGCUCCAUCGCUGGUGCCAUCCUGGUAGCAGCUAUUGUCCUUGGGGGCACAGGCUGGGGAUUUAAGUAAGCAAUGCCGCAUGUCUUUUUCUCUGUGGCUCGGGCACCUCUCUUUUCUGCUUACAUAACCUGGUUUUGAGUUCCUGCUACGAGACUUUGUUGUUAAGAGCACAACCACAAAAAGAAUGUGCUUCUACCCAGCAGUGGGUUGGAAAGGAAGGACAUGAGCUUCAAAUGCUGUCCGCAGGCAGACAGGGAAGCAUGGGCAAUGGACGGUGGUCACUUGAAUGUGAAGCCGGAGCACUUUAGUAGGAGACAUUCUUGCUUGUAGGAGCAAGUCUCCGGGAGUGCUUUUGGGUACAGUUAGGUGACCAGGGAGACCACAUAAAUUCCUAAUUGUGUCUGCUGGACACUGAUUCUGGUCCACGGGGGUUAGCCACAACCUCAGCCAUCACCUCAUAUGCAACUUUGUAAUUUGAAGACCUUCAUUAUUUACUUACAAAUACUUGAAAAAUACUUUUAUUAUUUCUCUAACCAACAGAAUUUGAAAGCAAUGGCUUUGUGGCCUUUACUGUAACAUUUAUAUGGCUGAGUGGCCUGCUAUGCUUUCAUAAUAACUUUUAAUUUGGAUUGCAUAUUGAUAAGCAAGAUUAUUAAAGUAGACCAUACUGGAUAAUCACAGACAAACCCUAUUGUGUUUAACGUUUUUAAACUUAUUUAUGGUUUAUCUAUUCUGGAUAUUUUGAAUCUCAGAUUUAAUAGAGAGUCACUUCCAUACGUUUCGAUCUCUGGUGACUUGGUUUUUAUUAUUUGUAGGUAAGCCUUCCUCUGCCAUAUAGUCUCUUUCAUAAAUUAAGUUUCAUCCAGAUUGUUUGGGAUGAAUUUAAGUGAGAAAUAAAACCUGCAGUUAAACCAAAGCCCCUAUUUUGCUUCCAUCCAACCACUCAAUGGAAGAAGCUUUGUUUGGAAGGAACGUGUAGUGGCCUUAAUUAAAACAGUUAAAAUAUUAUUAUUAGAAGUUGAUUAUGAAAGAAAAGAUACCAAGAUAUAAUCAAAAUAAAUGAACCUUUUCUGCUAAUUUGUUAUGGUGUUAAGAUUUAAUGAAUAAGUCCAUAGCAUUUGAGGGGCUUCUACUUGGAAUGUUUAUCGAAUGGAGCUUGGUUUCUACACAGCUGUCUAGAAAGUUGCACUUAGUGAAAUAGCACUUUUCUCAUCAGCAUGCUGGCAGAAACACGCAAACUGAACAGGCCCCUCCUAUUUGGAUUUCUUCUCAUUUUAGACCAUUGUCCGUCCUGGAUCACAUAAGGGGAAUCUCAGAAGUGGUGUGUUUUUCUUUGGAUUUUCCCCAUUGCAGGGGAAAACUUUUCUUAGUGCCCCACUACUGUGAAAACAUCACUAUAUAUUAUAGAAAUUGUGCAUUCUAUUUAUAAUGCUUCCUUUUAAAAAAUUACAUACGCCUCCGGAAAAGAAAGUCGGCUCAUUCUGUGGCGUGCACCUCCUUGGCUUUAAGAAACAUUCAUUUCAAAGGCCCAAGAAACUGUCUCCUGCGCUUCAUGGCCACCCAACGCCAUGCGAUGCCAGAUGCAGUUUCUUUGUUCUUGAGGAGAGCGCACUGUUCUGUAGCAGGACCUCAAACAGCAGCCUGGCUGGCUCUCAGCUUGAACCGCAUGUCCUGGGGAGAAGCCUUUAUCACUGUGUCCAUUUGUGGGUUGGGCUCUGUGCGAACGAUUUCCAUCUAAGAGAGCUGUGCAGUCAUUGGAAGAGCAGGGCACAGGGUGAGGGGUUGUCACUGUCAACCAAGCAAGACUCAAACCCGGCUCGGCCAACUUUGUUUGGGGACUGUGGUACAGGGACACUUCCAGGGGAGCCCCGUUAAAGCCCCUUCCGAUUUCUGCUGUCACUUCUGAUAAAGUGUAGAAAGGCACAAUCCUGCACAAAAUGUGCUCUAAAUACUUUGAUGCCUUGGGGGCAGCAGGCCAAGAAUGUUUCUCAAAGCUUUAACUUCUCCUUUGUUUAACUUCUGGAACUGGAAUUUGGAGACACUCUUGUACUCCAUGCUACGAGUUGUCACCCUGGUUACUUUAGAUCUUACCAAGGCCUGGUAGUUUGUAUCGAGCUGGGAAUUGUUAUCCCUACCUCACAAUGGAAGGCUGUCUGUGCUUAGCAAUCAUGCUCAAGUUUUCCCACCACUGGGACAGUUUUGAAGACGAUUAGAGAUAAUUUGAAGUACUGAGUUGGAAGCCUUUCAGAGUGUCACUGAGUUCAGUGUAAAUAAAAAGUUUCCUUUAGAAGCAGAAAUUGGAAAUGGCUGGUAAAGAAGAUUGUUCUAGAUAGCGCUGUUGGAAAUCCUUCCUGAAAUGGGGGCAUUAUUCCUGGGAGAGGAGAGAGCAGAGCUGCCGGAAACCUUUGAGGGUGGGUAAACAGGUGCGACUGAUCGGGAGACAGCGCUUUUCCCUGCCGUCGCCUCCGCUUAGGUGUGAUUUGCUGAGUAGGUUGGAUGUGGAGGAGAGUCACAACCAUCCUUUACCUGCACAGGCAUAUGGAGGAGACAGGCAAGAGACACAACUUCGCUUCCCCUCACCACUGUCUCACUGAUUCUUUCCUCACAGCACACCUGUGAGUUAGAUGUUGAACCACAGGACUUUGGGAGGAUGUGGAUAUGGGGGAAGGGGGGUUGCACUUUAUGUUCUUAACGUUAUGCAGAUGUAUUUGAUGUAUUGUGAUCUGAAAUUGACACAAAUUUAGGUUGCUUCUUUUUAGAUCAUAGAGUCUGAAACCUUUGGUUAAUGUCCACAGGCCUUUCACAUGCAAAGUUGUAGAAUUCCCCAAAAAAGAAAAGAGUACUCUUUGUUGGGGGUCUCGUUAUGACAUUCAUGAAUUCAGAUAUAUUAGUAAUGUCAAAUGGGCGUGUGUUAUGUUGGGUAAAUUCAGACUCUGUUUUGAGGUCUGGAGGGUACUGAGGCGUGACUGAAUGGCUGAGUUUCCAGGUGCUGAGAAUCUUGUGCUUACUUCUGAGGCAUUUUGUGGAAAACAAAUGUAGGCUUUGACACACCAACCUGCCUGCUUCUUCCUGUAUCUGCAUUUCUUUUUCCUGGCUCCAUCCUUUUCCUCUUCGUCUACAGAAUGAGGUUGUGAGCUGUGGUAAGGGAGUCGCUAACUCUGACCUGGUUGACUCUCGGGCCCCUAGUCCCUAAUUCAUACCGAAUAAUAAUGAUACCCAAACUACUAGAGUAACUGGCUUCUACUGGACACUUGAACAGAUAAAUUAGAUGACAGAUUGUUUUAGUAUCAUCUUCCCCAAAGCUUAGGGAAAAUGGAUCUAGAUUUUGCACAUGCAUUAAAAAAUAAACUGUGCCGCCAUUAUUACAUUGGAGAAAACUACUUAUGCAACCCACCUGUUUUAGUUAGGGUUACUACUGCUGCAAUGAAACACCAUGACCAGAAAAUAACUUGGGGAGGAGAGGGUUUGUUAGUCUUACACUUCUGUAUUAUAGUCUAUCACUGAAGGAAGCCAGAACAGGAAUUAAAGCAGGGCAGGAACCUGGAGGCAGGAGCUAAUACCGAGGCCAUGUAGGAGUCCUGCUUACUGGCUUGCUUCUCAGCCUGCCUUCUUAUAGAACCCAGGUCCACCAGCCAGGGGAUGCCCCACCUACAAUGGGCUGGCCCCUCCCCCAUCAAGCAUUAAUUAAGAUUGCCUACAGGCGUGCCUCAGUGGCGGCUCAUCCCUCUCCAUGACUUGAGCUAUGUCGAGUUGGCUGUAGUCAGCAAGGCACCCAAAGUUUGAACCCAAGGAUUUAGAUGUGAGCCCAUGCGCACAGUAUUUACCAAUAUUUCAAGUAAUAGCUGUGGGGAAAUCAAAGUUCUUGGCAGGGCAAGAGAAGGACAUGAAGCUGACAGUGAGAUAAUUUGCUGGCGUUGAUGCCAGAGUGAGAGUGGGCCGUUCCACCAUGUUAUAGUGUCUUCAUAUUGGAAAAGUAUCACUUGCCCCACUAUCCCACCUGAUCUCCAUAGGUCCCAAUGGCAAACAAGUUUCCGCCAUUGCCAGCAGAGACUGUGUGGGCAGUUAUAUGCCCUCUUAGGGCAGUUCUUGCUGAGAUGUUCCUUUAUCAGCCUGUGAUUAUCGCAGGUGGCUCUCUCUCUCUCUCUCUCUCUCUCUCUCUCUCUCUCUCUCUCUGAGAAAGCACUUGCAUUAGCACUCUCUCUUAGCUCGAAACGAUUUUUUUUUUGUUAGCCUGGGCUCCAUUGUAUUCCAUUUCUUAUCCAAAUAAAAGAUUGUCAUAAUUGGUCCUCUUCUAAAAUGACAGUUGAAAGGCUAUAGCCAGAAAAGUAACUGAAUCUCGAUGGGGAAGGGAAUUAUUUUAAUUUUCUUGAAGUUAGGAAGUGGAAUAAAUUUUGUCUAGUUUCCCUAUGAGCAGAAUAACUAAAUUGUUGCUUUCGCUUCUAAAUUCCAUGUCAUAUUCGAAUGCAGAGCCACAUUUUUUGUUGUUGUCCAAGCCCGUGGAUUAGACCCUUUAUUCUUCAUCUGCCACCAACCAGGAACAUGCAUGACUUUCCUGACUCAAACUCCCGAGGAAAUGAGCUCAAUGCAAGGUGGCCUAGAGGUUAAGUGUGUGUUGGGGGGUCUUUGUUGAUGGGCAUGGGGACUCAGAUAAAGAAUGUGACAAUAAGUGGCCUGAGAUGGGUUGGCAGUAAAGAACACUCGGUGUUCUUGCAGAGGACUGGGGUUUGGUUCCCACAUGGUAGCUUGCAACUGUCUAAAACUCCAGUUCUGGCAGAGCUGGUUCUGCUUGCUUCCUCAGUCCCAGGGCAUUGGGUAUGAAUGAACGCACUUACCUGCGUUCAGGCACAACGUUCCCACAUCAUUCUGUUAAAGGUUGUAGUAGUAGAUAACUCUCCAUUCUUGUCAGAAGACCCAUCUUUUGUUACCUAGAGGUUUUAAUGUCAUGUGGAUGUAUAUAAUUACAUGCAUUUAGACACAAACUUAGAUUUUCCACAAGUACAAAAAAAAUGGUAAAAAUGUUGUCAUGGUAAUCCUAAGGAAUCGUGUUGAUAUUUUAUGAUGGUCCAGAAAUACCUUUCUGCUUGUAAUAGCAAAAUUACCUUCGAAAUUCAGUGAGCAGAGGGCAUUCAGACAAAACAAUUUGGAAAGGGAGCCAGCAAGAACCCAUGAAUUAUAGUAUUCACUUUCACACUGAAGCUCAACAGAAAGAGCCUUCUGAACAUGUAGAAAAUCCAGGACAGGCAAUGUUCAAUGUAUAGUGGCCCCUAGUGGAUGUACUGCUUAACUGUAAAGGAACCUCACAGAGGGCUUGCAGGGUUCUUUCUCUCCUGAUCUAUGGUUUCCCUCUCCCCUGGGCUGCAGCUUGCUUUUUCCACUGUUGGGACUUCUCCAGACUGCUGUUAGUACUGCUCAGUGGGAACAUAGGGCUCUAUAGGAUAACGACUCCUUAGUUUGGCCCAAGAUCCUGGUAACCCUAUAGACUGUUGUUCUAUGGGAAGAGUGCAAUCUAAGCUUCAAAAACUGACAUUUAAGAGGAACACACACUUUUGGACACUAGAGUUUCCUGGGUGAUAGGCUGAACGAGAAUGUUAGAUCUUUCCUUAAAAACAGGCUCCCUGGUUGUUCUGACCUUGAACGGUAGCUGCAUUUGAAUGAAAGAAUUCCGAGUUGGGUAGUGAGGUCACGUCCUGUUCAGUGCUGGCUGGGUUUGUUCUGUCCUCUGGGUUGACAUUUGAUGGUUCUUCUGAGUUCCAUCAAUGGACAGCUGACUUGGGUAGGGUCUCUGGUCCUCUGGGGGAAUUUCUCAAGGUCAGGCAGUUGGUGUUUCUCUUCCCUGAGUCUUUAGUAGGAAUUACCUCUCUUAUACAUCUUCUCAGAGAGCACGAGCCUCGAUGGCAGAUGCAGGUCCCGAGCUCCACAGAGUUCCUUUGGUGGCAAACACACUUUUAGAGAUGCCCCGUGCAUUCUUACCUAUGCUUCCGGCGCAGUCAGCGAUGCCUGUGCUCAAUCAAGAUCGU
Molecule: RNA transcript, 8747 nt
Organism: Alexandromys fortis (reed vole)
Lineage: Eukaryota; Metazoa; Chordata; Mammalia; Rodentia; Cricetidae
Gene: Adam23
Gene name: ADAM metallopeptidase domain 23
Exons: 27
Source: RefSeq, a predicted model, not a curated record